UCAGCUCUCUUUCCAUUAAUUUGGCUUAGAUCAAGUGUAGUAUCUGUUCUUUUCAGUUUAAUCUCUGAAACGUCUCUACGGAGGCAUCAAGAUUAAUCUUGUUUUUGGAUCUGGGGUGAUGGCCGCUGAGCUUGCUCAUGCCGUCUCCCACAGUGUCGCCCGUAUUCGCACUGUUUCGGGCUGACGCGACAUCUU
Molecule: small nuclear RNA, 195 nt
Filed under: Diplodia seriata
Lineage: Eukaryota; Fungi; Ascomycota; Dothideomycetes; Botryosphaeriales; Botryosphaeriaceae
Description: U2 spliceosomal RNA
Rfam family: U2 spliceosomal RNA
About the family: U2 is a small nuclear RNA (snRNA) component of the spliceosome (involved in pre-mRNA splicing). Complementary binding between U2 snRNA (in an area lying towards the 5' end but 3' to hairpin I) and the branchpoint sequence (BPS) of the intron results the bulging out of an unpaired adenosine, on the BPS, which initiates a nucleophilic attack at the intronic 5' splice site, thus starting the first of two transesterification reactions that mediate splicing.
Source: Rfam by way of RNAcentral